RNAcentral lists this unclassified non-coding RNA (253 nucleotides) under uncultured Latescibacterota bacterium. RNAcentral describes it as "uncultured Latescibacteria bacterium contains 16S-23S intergenic spacer region". It matches the Rfam family "Bacterial small subunit ribosomal RNA", at positions 524 to 776 of the family's 1533-position model. Lineage: Bacteria; Pseudomonadati; Candidatus Latescibacterota. The record is from RNAcentral.
UACGGAGGGAGCAAACGUUGUUCGGAUUUACUGGGUGUAAAGGGUGCGUAGGCGGCCCUGUAUGUCAGGGGUGAAAUCUGACGGCUCAACCGUCAAAUUGCCCCUGAAACUGCAGAGCUUGAGUCCGUGAGAGGAAGGUAGAAUUCCUGGUGUAACGGUGAAACGUGCAGAUAUCAGGAAGAACACCCGUGGCGAAGGCGGCCUUCUGGCACGGUACUGACGCUGAGGCACGAAAGCUAGGGUAUCGAACGGG